This 69-nucleotide transfer RNA is filed under the name Dipodomys ordii (Ord's kangaroo rat). It matches the Rfam family "tRNA". Rfam says of the family: Transfer RNA (tRNA) molecules are approximately 80 nucleotides in length. Their secondary structure includes four short double-helical elements and three loops (D, anti-codon, and T loops). The record is from Rfam by way of RNAcentral. Lineage: Eukaryota; Metazoa; Chordata; Mammalia; Rodentia; Heteromyidae.
GGUAGAUGGCUCAGUGGUAGAGUGCUUGCCUUACAUGCAUGAGGCCCUGAGUUCGAUUCCUCAGCACCA